CCCUUAGACGUUCUGGGCCGCACGCGCGCUACACUGACCAGUGCAACAAGCAUCCGUCCUUGGCCGACAGGCUCGGGCAAUCUUUGAACGCUGGUCGUGAUGGGGAUAGACUUUUGCAAUUUUUGGUCUUCAACGAGGAAUUCCCAGUAAACGCAAGUCAUCAACUUGCAUUGAUUACGUCCCUGCCCUUUGUACACACCGCCCGUCGCACCUACCGAUUGAAUGAUCCGGUGAGGCCCCCGGACUGUGGCGACGCAGCUGGUUCUCCAGCCGCGAUGCCGCGGGAAGCUGUCCAAACCUUAUCAUUUAGAGGAAGGAGAAGUCGUAACA
RNAcentral lists this ribosomal RNA (330 nucleotides) under uncultured eukaryote. RNAcentral's name for it is "partial 18S ribosomal RNA". It matches the Rfam family "Eukaryotic small subunit ribosomal RNA", at positions 1470 to 1796 of the family's 1831-position model. The record is from RNAcentral.